This 372-nucleotide unclassified non-coding RNA is filed under the name fungal sp. RNAcentral describes it as "partial internal transcribed spacer region". The stretch from base 1 to 46 matches the Rfam family "Eukaryotic small subunit ribosomal RNA", at positions 1786 to 1831 of the family's 1831-position model. Lineage: Eukaryota; Fungi. The record is from RNAcentral.
AAGUCGUAACAAGGUUUCCGUAGGUGAACCUGCGGAAGGAUCAUUAAAAAAAUUUAACACUUUUAAAAUUCUCACUGAAUUCACUCUCAGUGUUGUGAUCUCUGUAAGCCUUAAGAGGAAGGUCGUAAGACCGGAUUCUUGAGCAAACCCUUUUUUAACUUAAUCAAAAAACCCAAUUCAAACCCUCCAAAAUGGACUGCUUUUUGUGUUUUUCUCUUUUAAUUUUCCGCAAGGAAUGCUAAAGGAGUUAAACGAAAGGGCUUUCCAAUUUAAAACCCCAAAAACAAAACACAAAAAACACUCACCGAGUGUAUAAACUAAAAAUUCAUAAAAUGAAAUACAACUCUUAACAAUGGAUAUCUCGGUUCUCGU